This 301-nucleotide ribosomal RNA is filed under the name uncultured bacterium. RNAcentral's name for it is "partial 16S ribosomal RNA". It matches the Rfam family "Bacterial small subunit ribosomal RNA", at positions 509 to 807 of the family's 1533-position model. The record is from RNAcentral.
CAGUAGCCGCGGGAAUACGAAGGGGGCUAGCGUCGUUCGGAAUUACUGGGCGUAAAGCGCACGUAGGCGGCUUGGUAAGUUAGAGGUGAAAGCCCGGAGCUCAACUCCGGAAUUGCCUUUAAGACUGCCGAGCUAGUAGGUGAGAGAGGUAAGUGGAAUUCCGAGUGUAGAGGUGAAAUUCGUAGAUAUUCGGAAGAACACCAGUGGCGAAGGCGGCUUACUGGCUCAUUCUAGACGCUGAGGUGCGAAAGCGUGGGGAGCAAACAGGAUUAGAUACCCCCGUAGUCCCUGUCUCUUAUAC